GUUCAGAUCGCAGUCUGCAACUCGACUGCGUGAAGUCGGAAUCGCUAGUAAUCGCGGAUCAGCAUGCCGCGGUGAAUACGUUCCCGGGCCUUGUACACACCGCCCGUCACACCAUGAGAGUCGGGAACACCCGAAGCCCGUAGCCUAACUUUAACGAGGGGGCGCGGUCGAAGGUGGGUUCGAUAAUUGGGGUGAAGUCGUAACAAGGUAUC
RNAcentral lists this ribosomal RNA (212 nucleotides) under uncultured bacterium. Its description in RNAcentral is "partial 16S ribosomal RNA". It matches the Rfam family "Bacterial small subunit ribosomal RNA", at positions 1291 to 1500 of the family's 1533-position model. The record is from RNAcentral.